CAAGAGCCCUUUGAGCUCUCCUGCAGAGCAGAGUGCAGUUUUCUUCUUGAGCAGAGCUGCCUCUCGAGGUUAUGCCUGCCAGCAGAGAUCCCUCAACACUGGGAGAUUCCUUUCUGCAAGAGACCCUCGACAUACACCACUGACCAAGUCUGCGACUAGGACUGGAUCCAGUUGCAGGCUCUUCUAAGCAAGAACUUGGAAAGCAAGAGGGUCCUCUCCGAAUUUUGUGAUAAACAGGAGGGGCUCCCCAGCACAUCUGACUUACUCUGUCUUCAAUCCUGGAAAUAACCCAGUGUGCCUUGCCAUCAACAGAGCUUUGUUAAGGUGCAUAAACUUUGUUAAAUUACUACUACAUAAACUUUGUUAAAUCAC
Molecule: non-coding RNA, 372 nt
Organism: Anas platyrhynchos (mallard)
Lineage: Eukaryota; Metazoa; Chordata; Aves; Anseriformes; Anatidae
Source: RefSeq, a predicted model, not a curated record